AUCUCUGCGUCCUGCUCGCCGUCAGCUGCAUCCUGGUCGCCCUCAUCUGCAUCCUGCUCCUCAUCUGUUCCUCUCGUCGUCCGCUCCCUCGUCUUCACGUAACAGAUCUGCUCGCCCUCAUCUGCCUCCAGUUGUCUGGUAAGCUUCGAUUGUUCGAAUUUUUUCGUCGAUUUGGGUCGAUUUGGGCGGAUUUUUUUCGUCGAUUUGGGCGUAUUUGUUUUGGGUUUGAGCUUUAUUUGAUUCUGCAGUUGAACAAAUUUUAGGGUUUUGAUAUUUAGGUGAAAUUGAGAUUAGAAAUUGGGGUUUUCAUAAAGCUUGGACUUUGGGGUUUGAAAUUGACAUUAGAAAUUUGGAAUUUGGGGUUUUCAUAAAGCAGUGUGUGUGUGUUAUUACAAAACAUAGCUUGCUGUUGCUCUGGCCUUCGAUUAAUGGUUGAUUCUGUGGGAUAAGUUUGUAUAUCUUUUGAUUCUGGUUUUCUAGGGUCUGUAGCUUUUAGAUUUUAAUUUCUUAACCAGUCAAUUGUUGAUUUCGAUUGUGCAGUGUGAGUUAUUACAAAACAUUGUUGAGUUAUUUGAUUUAGGUGUGUGUGCAGUGUGUGUGUGUGCAGUGUGUGUGUGAAUGAGUGUGUAUGCAGUGUGUGUGUGUGUGCAGUGUGUGUGUGAAUGAGUGUGUAUGCAGUGUGUGUGUGAAUGAGUGUGUAUGCAGUGUGUGUGUAUGCAGUGUGUGUGUGCAGUGUGUGUGUGCAGUGUGUGUGUGUGUGUGUGUGUGUGUGUGUGUGAGGGUAAGAGUGUGUUGCACUCUGUCCCCGUGUGUGUGUGUGUGUGACAGUGUGUGUGUGUGUGAGUGUAAGUGUGAGUGUGAGUGAGUGUGAGUGUGAGUGAGUGUGAGUGUAAGUAUGAGUGUGAGUGAGUGUGAGUGUGAGUGAGUGCAAGGUGUAUGCAGUGUGUGUGUUUGUUGCACUCUGUCCCCGUGUGUGUGUGUGUGUGACAGUGUGUGUGUGUGAGUGUGAGUGUGAGUGUGAGUGUGAGUGGGUGUGAGUGUGAGUGAGUGUGAGUGUAAGUGUGAGUGUGAGUGAGUGUGAGUGUGAGUGAGUGUGAGUGAGUGUGAGUGUGAGUGUGUGUGCAGUGUGUGUGUGUAUGCAGUGUGUGUGUGUUAGUGUGUUGCAUUCUGUCCCCGUGUGUGUGUGUGUGUGAUUGUGUUUGUGGGUGAGUGUGAGUGUAAGUGUGAGUGUGAGUGUGAGUGUGUGUGCAGUGUGUGUGUGUAUGCAGUGUGUGUGUGAAUCAAGCUGUAUGCAGUGUGUGUGUGAAUGAGUGUGUAUGCAGUGUGUGUGUGUGUGUGUGUGUGUGUGUGUGUGCAGUAUGUGUGUGCAGUGUGUGUGUGUGUGAGUGUGUAUGCAGUGUGUGUGUGUGUGUGCAGUGUGUGUGAAUGAGUGUGUAUGCAAUGUGUGUGUGAAUGACUGUGUAUGCAGUGUGUGUGUGUAUGCAGUGUGUGUGUGCAGUGUGUGUGUGAGGGUAAGAGUGUGUUGCACUUUGUCCCCGUGUGUGUGUGAGUGUGAGUGUGAGUGUGUGUGCAGUGUGUGUGUGAGUGUGUAAGCAGUGUGUGUGUGUGCAGUGUGUGUGUGAAUGAGUGUGUAUGCAGUGUGUGUGUGUGUGUGUGUGUGAGGGUAAGAGUGUGUUGCACUUUGUCCCCGUGUGUGUGUGUGUGUGACUGUGUUUGUGUGUGAGUGUAAGUGAGUGUGAGUGAGUGUGAAUGUGAGUGUGUGUGAGUGUGAGUGUGUGUGCGGUGUGUGCAGUGUGAGUGUGAGUGUGUGUGCAGUGUGUGUGUGUGUGCAGUGUGUGUGUGCAGUGUGUGUGUGUGUGUGUGAGGGUAAGAGUGUGUUGCACUCUGUCCCCGUGUGUGUGUGUGUGACUGUGUUUGUGUGUGAGUGUGAGUGAGUGUGAGUGUGAGUGUGAGUGUGUGUGCAGUGUGUGUGUGUGCAGUGUGUGUGUGUGAAUGAGUGUGUAUGCAGUGUGUGUGUGUGCAGUGUGUGUGUACUGUGUGUGCAAGGUGUAUGCAGUGUGUGUGUUUGUGUACUGUGUAUGCAGUGUGUAUGUAUGCAGGGUGUAUGCAGUGUGUGUAUGUAUGUAUGCACUGUGUGUGUACUUGCAGGGUGUGUGUGGUAGUGUAUGCAGUGUGUGUGUGUGUGUAGUGUAUGUAGUGUGUGUGUAGUGUAUGCAGUGUAUGUAGUGUGUAUGUAUGUACUGUGUUUGCAGUGUGUAUGUAUGUACUGUGUAUACAAUGUGAAUGUUUUGUAUUGUGUGGGGUUGAUGCUGAAUUGCAAUUUGUUGUGGUUGUUGGUUGCAGAGAAGAGGAGCAUAAACGGAAGGCUAAGGCUAAGGCUACUGCAUUACAGGUGUCCUUUAAUU
This 2405-nucleotide long non-coding RNA is filed under the name Malus domestica (apple). Its description in RNAcentral is "long non-coding RNA (MDOM_LNC003017)". The record is from RNAcentral. Lineage: Eukaryota; Viridiplantae; Streptophyta; Magnoliopsida; Rosales; Rosaceae.